AAGUGUUUCAGCUCUUGUAGAAUUUGUCUAGAAGGCUUUCUGCUCCUUAGUCAGAUAGGCCCAA
This 64-nucleotide small nuclear RNA is filed under the name Carlito syrichta (Philippine tarsier). RNAcentral's name for it is "U7 small nuclear RNA (ENSTSYG00000026513.1)". It matches the Rfam family "U7 small nuclear RNA". Rfam says of the family: Animal histone pre-mRNAs are spliced by a different mechanism than nuclear pre-mRNAs and self-splicing introns. This processing involves the U7 snRNP, which contains only one RNA species: U7. Lineage: Eukaryota; Metazoa; Chordata; Mammalia; Primates; Tarsiidae. The record is from Rfam by way of RNAcentral.